Long non-coding RNA from Malus domestica (apple), 765 nucleotides. RefSeq lists it as uncharacterized. Lineage: Eukaryota; Viridiplantae; Streptophyta; Magnoliopsida; Rosales; Rosaceae. The record is from RefSeq and is a predicted model, not a curated record.
AGGGCAACUGAGCCCUAUCGCUGUAUGCUAUGUUUUUCGGUGAGCUCAGUUGAACCAGCCAUUUGUAGCAGGCCUCGUAAAAAAACACCAUCAACGUGGAUGCUUCCUCUCAACUCUCUCCUGUUUACCUCUCUCUGCAAGUGCAGAGAAUGAAUCGUACGCCAUCACCGUCGUUAGCCACAUACAACCAGUGUACUCUGGUGAGUCCUCAGGUCACCAUAUCACUCUAUCUCUUUCAUAUGUUUUUUCUCUUUCCCUCUCACCUCUUUCUCAACCUAUUUCCUUAACUCUAUUUUCUCUCGGUGAAACAUCGAGAAGUUGCAGUGGCUAACACCAUCGCUAACCACCCAGGACGAUGGCCAUUUUGGUGAGCAAUAUCACACAACCUCAUCCUUCAUCUUGCCAUCUUCCCUUACAAACUCUUUGUCUCGUCGUUUUCCUUCUCGGUUCACUGAUGCAUAGCACCAUCGCCACCCAAUUUCGCGAACUCUGGUGAGAUUUCUAGUUCUCCGAUCAAGAAACAUCUCGGGGAAGAACUUCCCCAGAUUCUGGAAUAUUUAGGCUGUGGCCGUCAUGCCACUUUCAGGCUAUUUUUUUGGCCAAUGCCAACCACGACUCGGCCUAAUCUUGGUGAAACGCAUUGCAAGGAUCAUCGAUGCCCCCGAGGCGAGUUCGACCCGACGACAUGAUUUGUGAGUGGGUCUUUUCUUUUAUAGUAUAUAUAUUUGUUAGUUUCCAUUAAUAUAUUUGAAAAAGAAUUUUCUA